This 550-nucleotide ribosomal RNA is filed under the name uncultured bacterium. RNAcentral describes it as "bacterial SSU rRNA". It matches the Rfam family "Bacterial small subunit ribosomal RNA", at positions 94 to 640 of the family's 1533-position model. The record is from RNAcentral.
AGCGGCGGACGGGUGAGUAAUGCCUGGGAAUAUGCCCUGAUGUGGGGGAUAACUAUUGGAAACGAUAGCUAAUACCGCAUAAUCUCUUCGGAGCAAAGAGGGGGACCUUCGGGCCUCUCGCGUCAGGAUUAGCCCAGGUGGGAUUAGCUUGUUGGUGAGGUAAUGGCACACCAAGGCAACGAUCCCUAGCUGGUCUGAGAGGAUGAUCAGCCACACUGGAACUGAGACACGGUCCAGACUCCUACGGGAGGCGGCAGUGGGGAAUAUUGCACAAUGGGGGAAACCCUGAUGCAGCCAUGCCGCGUGUGUGAAGAAGGCCUUCGGGUUGUAAAGCACUUUCAGUAGGGAGGAAGGUAGUGUAGUUAACACCUGCACUAUUUGACGUUACCUACAGAAGAAGCACCGGCUAACUCCGUGCCAGCAGCCGCGGUCAUACGGAGGGUGCGAGCGUUAAUCGGAAUUACUGGGCGUAAAGCGCAUGCAGGCGGCCUGUUAAGUCAGAUGUGAAAGCCCGGGGCUUAACCUCGGAAUUGCAUUUGAAACUGGCAGG